CGAAUGGGGAAACCCAGUGUGACUCGUCACACUAUCAUUAACUGAAUCCAUAGGUUAAUGAGGCGAACCGGGGGAACUGAAACAUCUAAGUACCCCGAGGAAAAGAAAUCAACCGAGAUUCCCCCAGUAGCGGCGAGCGAACGGGGAGGAGCCCAGAGCCUGAAUCAGCAUGUGUGUUAGUGGAAGCGUCUGGAAAGGCGCGCGAUACAGGGUGACAGCCCCGUACACAAAAGCGCAUGUGCUGUGAGCUCGAUGAGUAGGGCGGGACACGUGGUAUCCUGUCUGAAUAUGGGGGGACCAUCCUCCAAGGCUAAAUACUCCUGACUGACCGAUAGUGAACCAGUACCGUGAGGGAAAGGCGAAAAGAACCCCGGCGAGGGGAGUGAAAAAGAACCUGAAACCGUGUACGUACAAGCAGUGGGAGCACAGGUUUACCUGUGUGACUGCGUACCUUUUGUAUAAUGGGUCAGCGACUUAUAUUCUGUAGCAAGGUUAACCGUAUAGGGGAGCCGGAGGGAAACCGAGUCUUAAUUGGGCGUUAAGUUGCAGGGUAUAGACCCGAAACCCGGUGAUCUAGCCAUGGGCAGGUUGAAGGUUGGGUAACACUAACUGGAGGACCGAACCGACUAAUGUUGAAAAAUUAGCGGAUGACCUGUGGCUGGGGGUGAAAGGCCAAUCAAACCGGGAGAUAGCUGGUUCUCCCCGAAAGCUAUUUAGGUAGCGCCUCGUGAAUUCAUCUCCGGGGGUAGAGCACUGUUUCGGCUAGGGGGCCAUCCCGGCUUACCAACCCGAUGCAAACUGCGAAUACCGGAGAAUGUUAUCACGGGAGACACACGGCGGGUGCUAACGUCCGUCGUGAAGAGGGAAACAACCCAGACCGCCAGCUAAGGUCCCAAAGUCAUGGUUAAGUGGGAAACGAUGUGGGAAGGCCCAGACAGCCAGGAUGUUGGCUUAGAAGCAGCCAUCAUUUAAAGAAAGCGUAAUAGCUCACUGGUCGAGUCGGCCUGCGCGGAAGAUGUAACGGGGCUAAACCAUGCACCGAAGCUGCGGCAGC
Molecule: ribosomal RNA, 1054 nt
Filed under: Salmonella enterica subsp. enterica serovar Namur str. 05-2929
Lineage: Bacteria; Pseudomonadati; Pseudomonadota; Gammaproteobacteria; Enterobacterales; Enterobacteriaceae
Description: bacterial LSU rRNA
Rfam family: Bacterial large subunit ribosomal RNA
Source: RNAcentral